Mus musculus (house mouse) is the source of this 1256-nucleotide long non-coding RNA. RefSeq annotates it as predicted gene, 33987. The record is from RefSeq and is a predicted model, not a curated record. NCBI's taxonomy places the organism in Eukaryota, Metazoa, Chordata, Mammalia, Rodentia, Muridae. The transcript has 3 exons.
UUCUUCUCUUAAUAAAUUGUAAUCUCAGUCUGAUUUUACUGAGUCCAGCUUCCCUUGAAGACUCUGAGUGGCCACUUCCAUCUAAGAGUGGUUCUAAGUGUUGAGCGAGAACUCUCCCUGACUUGGGGAAAGCCUCUUCUCCUUCUGUCAGAACACUCAGCAUCUUACUGGUGCAUCUGAGAUUGCUUAAGGGCCUAGGCAGAAACCAGAGCAGAUAGAAGAUGAACAGACAGAGUGACUUCCCCAAAGAUGCAUGCUUAGGAAAAGAGAAGUCAACCUCAUCGAGGGCCUGCCGGAUUCUAACUCCUCCUUCUCAGCCACAUCUGAGAAGCCUCCCACUGAGAACCUGCCCUGCUGCUUUAUCCUGGAAUUCUGGCACAAAGCAAUCUCCCAAGUAUGUGAAAGAGUGGUCCGCAGAAUGGCAUGGAUCCAAAAGACGUGAGCUACUGGGACUAAGUUUAAAAACAGCUUUUCAUUUGGGAGCCACCAUAUGGUUGCUGAGGAUUGAACUCAGGACCUCUGGAAGAGCAGGCGGUGCUCUUGAAGAGCACUUAAGGAUAAGAACCACUGAGCCAUCUCCCCAGUCCUCUCCCCUCUUUCUCCCCCUCCUCCCCCCCUCCAAGGGAAACACUAGACUUUGUGUGCACUGCAAAACUGGGAGAUGGAGGACUUAAGGAAACUCAGCUCAAGCAGAUACUGUAAGUACAAGACAGGAGAGAAGUAAUCAAAAGGUUGGAGGAAUGAAUUCUAAUGUCCUACUGCACAGUGGGGGGGGGGUGAUAUAUUAGUAUAUAUUUACAGUAAUUCUAAACUUUAUAAAGAGCUAGGAGUUUGAAACUUCUCUCUCUCUCUCUCUCUCUCUCUCUCUCACACACACACACACACACACACACACACAUACACACAAAUAAUCACAAAUAUUUAAAGAGAAAGGACUGGGGAUGACCCCAACACACAGAAGGCAGAGGUAGGUAGAUUCCUAUGAGUUUGGGGCCAGCCUGAUUUACAUAGUGAGACCCUGUCUCCAAAAAUAUUUUUUAAAAUGAAAGGAAAGAGAUGCUAAUCAUCUCUAUGCUGAAAAUUGCUUUAUAAUAGUGACAUUGUUUGCCAAACUGUGAGCUCUUUAAUGUAGGCUUUUUGUUCAUCUUUACAGCCCUUUCUUAAGUCUGCAUUUCAAGGCUAGUCAUAUGACUACAUGAAAGUGUAACUCAGAGAAAGUUAAAAGAUGGACUGUGGGGGGCUGGUGAGAUGGCUCA